RNAcentral lists this long non-coding RNA (315 nucleotides) under Gallus gallus (chicken). RNAcentral describes it as "long non-coding RNA NONGGAT011713". Lineage: Eukaryota; Metazoa; Chordata; Aves; Galliformes; Phasianidae. The record is from RNAcentral.
CAGAAACAGCAGGCAGCUCAAGAAAGGUGCUGUUUUCUGCUCUUGCAGCACCAGGUAUGCCAAACCACACAUUUGGCUGCAGCUGGAGGCAAGGCACUACCCAUUUUCAUCUGUGAACUACCUGCACAAUGUUGCUGUGAUAAGUCCAAUGUAGGUUUAAUAUGCAUUAGAAUUACUUCCAGCAGAGACUGAACUCACUGUCUUUAUGCACAGAGGAAGAAAUUCCUGGCAGUAUACAUGGAGGAGGAUGGACAGCAGUGAAGACAUGCAGCGCACUCACUGCUGUCAGUGGUUAUUUAGCACCUAGCAAGUACC